CGGCCCAGACUCCUACGGGAGGCAGCAGUAGGGAAUCUUCCGCAUGGACGAAAGUCUGACGGAGCAACGCCGCGUGAGUGAUGAAGGUUUUCGGAUCGUAAAGCUCUGUUGUUAGGGAAGAACAAGUGCCGUUCAAAUAGGGCGGCACCUUGACGGUACCUAACCAGAAAGCCACGGCUAACUACGUGCCAGCAGCCGCGGUAAUACGUAGGUGGCAAGCGUUGUCCGGAAUUAUUGGGCGUAAAGGGCUCGCAGGCGGUUUCUUAAGUCUGAUGUGAAAGCCCCCGGCUCAACCGGGGAGGGUCAUUGGAAACUGGGGAACUUGAGUGCAGAAGAGGAGAGUGGAAUUCCACGUGUAGCGGUGAAAUGCGUAGAGAUGUGGAGGAACACCAGUGGCGAAGGCGACUCUCUGGUCUGUAACUGACGCUGAGGAGCGAAAGCGUGGGGAGCGAACAGGAUUAGAUACCCUGGUAGUCCACGCCGUAAACGAUGAGUGCUAAGUGUUAGGGGGUUUCCGCCCCUUAGUGCUGCAGCUAACGCAUUAAGCACUCCGCCUGGGGAGUACGGUCGCAAGACUGAAACUCAAAGGAAUUGACGGGGGCCCGCACAAGCGGUGGAGCAUGUGGUUUAAUUCGAAGCAACGCGAAGAACCUUACCAGGUCUUGACAUCCUCUGACAAUCCUAGAGAUAGGACGUCCCCUUCGGGGGCAGAGUGACAGGUGGUGCAUGGUUGUCGUCAGCUCGUGUCGUGAGAUGUUGGGUUAAGUCCCGCAACGAGCGCAACCCUUGAUCUUAGUUGCCAGCAUUCAGUUGGGCACUCUAAGGUGACUGCCGGUGACAAACCGGAGGAAGGUGGGGAUGACGUCAAAUCAUCAUGCCCCUUAUGACCUGGGCUACACACGUGCUACAAUGGACAGAACAAAGGGCAGCGAAACCGCGAGGUUAAGCCAAUCCCACAAAUCUGUUCUCAGUUCGGAUCGCAGUCUGCAACUCGACUGCGUGAAGCUGGAAUCGCUAGUAAUCGCGGAUCAGCAUGCCGCGGUGAAUACGUUCCCGGGCCUUGUACACACCGCCCGUCACACCACGAGAGUUUGUAACACCCGAAGUCGGUGAGGUAACCUUUAGGAGCCAGCCGCCGA
Molecule: ribosomal RNA, 1139 nt
Filed under: Bacillus sp. FL-2020a
Lineage: Bacteria; Bacillati; Bacillota; Bacilli; Caryophanales; Bacillaceae
Description: bacterial SSU rRNA
Rfam family: Bacterial small subunit ribosomal RNA
Source: RNAcentral